CAGUCGAGGGGCAGCGGGGAGCAAGCUUGCUUGCUCUGCCGGCGACCGGCGCACGGGUGAGUAACACGUAUGCAACCUGCCCUCCGCAGGGGGAUAACCCGGAGAAAUCCGGACUAAUACCGCGUGGUACACUUGUGGGGCAUCCCACGGGUGUUAAAAGGAAGUGAUUCCGGCGGAGGAUGGGCAUGCGGCGCAUUAGCUGGUUGGCGGGGUAACGGCCCACCAAGGCGACGAUGCGUAGGGGUUCUGAGAGGAAGGUCCCCCACACUGGUACUGAGACACGGACCAGACUCCUACGGGAGGCAGCAGUGAGGAAUAUUGGUCAAUGGGCGGGAGCCUGAACCAGCCAAGUCGCGUGAGGGAAGACGGUCCUAUGGAUUGUAAACCUCUUUAGGCGGGGAGCAAUGCCGGGCACGCGUGCCCGGAGGGAGAGUACCCGCAGAAUAAGCAUCGGCUAACUCCGUGCCAGCAGCCGCGGUAAUACGGAGGAUGCGAGCGUUAUCCGGAUUUAUUGGGUUUAAAGGGUGCGUAGGCGGAUUUUUAAGUCAGCGGUAAAAUGUCCGGGCUCAACCCGGGCCGGCCGUUGAAACUGGGGAUCUUGAGUGGGCGAGAAGUAUGCGGAAUGCGUGGUGUAGCGGUGAAAUGCAUAGAUAUCACGCAGAACUCCGAUUGCGAAGGCAGCAUACCGGCGCCCGACUGACGCUGAGGCACGAAAGCGUGGGGAUC
This 726-nucleotide ribosomal RNA is filed under the name uncultured bacterium. RNAcentral describes it as "bacterial SSU rRNA". It matches the Rfam family "Bacterial small subunit ribosomal RNA", at positions 59 to 769 of the family's 1533-position model. The record is from RNAcentral.